This 66-nucleotide transfer RNA is filed under the name Ocypode ceratophthalmus. Its description in RNAcentral is "tRNA-Ser". Lineage: Eukaryota; Metazoa; Arthropoda; Malacostraca; Decapoda; Ocypodidae. The record is from RNAcentral.
GAAGUAUUAAGAAAGAUAGAAAGCUUCUAACUUUUUAUCAAGCGGUUAAAUUCCGUUUAUACUUCU